AGUGAACGCUGGCGGUAGGCCUAACACAUGCAAGUCGAACGGCAGCACAGUAAGAGCUUGCUCUUACGGGUGGCGAGUGGCGGACGGGUGAGGAAUACAUCGGAAUCUACUUUUUCGUGGGGGAUAACGUAGGGAAACUUACGCUAAUACCGCAUACGACCUACGGGUGAAAGCAGGGGAUCUUCGGACCUUGCGCGAUUGAAUGAGCCGAUGUCGGAUUAGCUAGUUGGCGGGGUAAAGGCCCACCAAGGCGACGAUCCGUAGCUGGUCUGAGAGGAUGAUCAGCCACACUGGAACUGAGACACGGUCCAGACUCUUACGGGAGGCAGCAGUGGGGAAUAUUGGACAAUGGGCGAAAGCCUGAUCCAGCCAUACCGCGUGGGUGAAGAAGGCCUUCGGGUUGUAAAGCCCUUUUGUUGGGAAAGAAAAGCAGCAGGUUAAUACCCCGCUGUUCUGACGGUACCCAAAGAAUAAGCACCGGCUAACUUCGUG
Molecule: ribosomal RNA, 492 nt
Filed under: uncultured bacterium
Lineage: Bacteria
Description: partial 16S ribosomal RNA
Rfam family: Bacterial small subunit ribosomal RNA
Source: RNAcentral